This 253-nucleotide ribosomal RNA is filed under the name uncultured bacterium. RNAcentral describes it as "partial 16S ribosomal RNA". It matches the Rfam family "Bacterial small subunit ribosomal RNA", at positions 524 to 776 of the family's 1533-position model. The record is from RNAcentral.
UACAGAGGGUGCAAGCGUUAAUCGGAAUUACUGGGCGUAAAGCGUGCGUAGACGGUAGCGUAAGUCGGGUGUGAAAGCCCCGGGCUCAACCUGGGAAUUGCAUUUGAGACUGCUCUGCUAGGGUGCGGAAGAGGGGAGCGGAAUUUCCGGUGUAGCGGUGAAAUGCGUAGAUAUCGGAAGGAACACCAGUGGCGAAAGCGGCUCCCUGGUCCAGCACCGACGUUCAGGCACGAAAGCGUGGGGAGCAAACAGG